CAUAUGCUUGUCUCAAAGAUUAAGCCAUGCAUGUCUCAGUACAAGCCUCAUUAAGGUGAAACCGCGAAAGGCUCAUUAAAUCAGUUAUGGUUCCUUAGAUCGUACCCACAUUUACUUGGAUAACUGUGGUAAUUCUAGAGCUAAUACAUGCAAACAGGGUCCCGACCGGAGACGGGAGGGAUGCUUUUAUUAGAUCAAAACCAAUCGGCGGCGGGCGCGUUCGCGCGUGCCCGUUCGCCGCUCAACUUGGUGACUCUGAAUAACUUUCGGCUGAUCGCACGGUCUCGCACCGGCGACGCAUCUUUCAAAUGUCUGCCUUAUCAACUGUCGAUGGUAGGUUCUGCGCCUACCAUGGUCGUAACGGGUAACGGGGAAUCAGGGUUCGAUUCCGGAGAGGGAGCCUGAGAAACGGCUACCACAUCCAAGGAAGGCAGCAGGCGCGCAAAUUACCCACUCCCGGCACGGGGAGGUAGUGACGAAAAAUAACGAUACGGGACUCAUCCGAGGCCCCGUAAUCGGAAUGAGUACACUUUAAAUCCUUUAACCAGGAUCAAUUGGAGGGCAAGUCUGGUGCCAGCAGCCGCGGUAAUUCCAGCUCCAAUA
This 603-nucleotide ribosomal RNA is filed under the name Papuadytes glyptus. RNAcentral's name for it is "SSU rRNA". It matches the Rfam family "Eukaryotic small subunit ribosomal RNA", at positions 25 to 596 of the family's 1831-position model. Lineage: Eukaryota; Metazoa; Arthropoda; Insecta; Coleoptera; Dytiscidae. The record is from RNAcentral.